This is a non-coding RNA of Acanthosepion pharaonis, 103 nucleotides long. The record is from the annotation of a GenBank genome assembly. NCBI's taxonomy places the organism in Eukaryota, Metazoa, Mollusca, Cephalopoda, Sepiida, Sepiidae.
ACGCCUACAUCACGAUGAAACAUCGUUUCUCGUACGAUCACCAAAGUUAAGCGACGUCGAGCCUGGUCAGUAUCUAGAUGGGUGUCCACUUGGGAAUAUCAAG